CAGGAAGCCAGCCAGACUGUGCCAGGAUUGAAACUGAGAACCUGGAAACAGAGCCGUGCUGCACCUUUCUGACUUGCAGGCUGUUUCCUGUGUGAAGAGAGGCCCUGUGGGCUUGAGGAGGCGGGGCUAGAGGAAGGUACCCAACUGCUGCCGCUGGCUUUUAAGGAUGGAGGACGAGUCCUGUCUAUGGCCUUGCACAUAUGGUGUCAUCUAAUCUCUACGGGUCCGCUAAAUAGCGUAGCCUCAAGCCCUCCGCUCCCCAUCUUUCUGGCCCACGUCUUCCCUGCCCGUCUCUGGGGAGAGCACCGUCCAGGUUCACAGUGGCGCACCGUGUCAACGCUCUGGCUCUCAGUUUUGAAGGAGAAUGGCAGCUGUUGUGAUGGCUCCAACCAGAUACGGUUUGCUCGGCACCCCCGCUUACACACCCACUUUGGGUUCAGUUUCACAGUCGGGCAUCGAGAGGGCAGAGUCUUGUCCUCGUCCAUGGAGGCUGAUGGAUACAGGUCCUCUUCUGAAGACAGAGGAAGACGGAGUCACUGAAUCUUCAUUCGUCUUGGAUCCAGGAGGAGAAGCCAUCAUAAUCUUACAACGUAUCUACUGUAUUAGAGAUAUGUGUCGUAAGUCAGGAAAAGGGAGCAAGAUAAGCUGAGGUGUAGAGAAAGUUCUGUGACAGAAAAACAGCAGACGGUGACCCCUGGGGCCGUGAGCUCUCCUAGCACGGGUUUUUGGCCUGAUUUACAGUACCAGGCACGUAUUUCCUCUUGUGGAGCAGAGAGUGACUGAUUACUCCCCAUAACAUCCAAUGGCUCUAUGCCAUCCUCAGGCAUAUCUUGCCACAGCAGUGAAGUGGAAGUCUCUGGAUAUGUCAUGUGAUACAGACUCACACAGUGUUUUGCUAAGACAGACUUAUGUGGUGUUGUGUUAAGACAGAUUCAUGUGUCGUUUUGCUGAUGGUGAGGCAAGACCCACGGGAGGACGCGUGAUGUUUGGAAAGAGGAUAAAUAAGACUCAACAGACAGUGACUGUGAUUACAUGGCCAGC
RNAcentral lists this long non-coding RNA (1041 nucleotides) under Rattus norvegicus (Norway rat). RNAcentral's name for it is "long non-coding RNA NONRATT032997". The record is from RNAcentral. Lineage: Eukaryota; Metazoa; Chordata; Mammalia; Rodentia; Muridae.